UCCCAAAGUGCUGAUAUUUACAGGCAUGAGCCACCGUGCCCAGCCAGUACUAAUUUUUUUCUAAAGUGGCCACUCUUUUAAAAAUUCCCACCUGCAAUGUGGGUGGUAAGGUACAUAUCCUUAUCAGCAAUUGUUAUGAUCUGCCUUUUUAAAUAUAUGUAUUCCACUGAACCUUUUUGGAUUUUUGUGUUUGUGCUUGUUCGUUUGUUUGAAACAGGGCCUGGCUCUGUCACCCAGGCUGGAGCGCAGUAAUGUGAUCUAAGCUCACUGCCACAUCCCCUUCCCAGGCUCAAGCCAUCCUUCCACCCCAACCUCCUGAGUAACUAGGACCACGGGCGCGUGCCACCAAGCCCGUAUCAUUUUUGUGUGUAUUUUUUAUUGAGACAAAUUUCACCCCAUUGCCCAGACUCAUCUCAGACUCCUGGGCUCAAGCAAUUCUCCCACCUCAGGCUCCCAAAGUGCUGGGAUUACAGGCAUGAGUCACCUCAGCCAGCCUCCAGUGAACUUUUAAAGAUUUAGCGCUUGGCCCCCGGGACCUCCCUAGAGUCAGUAUUGGUGGCUUUGUUUUGUAUGCACCAUUUUCUCUCUGUGUUAUGGGAGAUGUCAAGGAAUCAAAAAAGCAAAUAACACCAGAAACUGCUGGAAGGAUCCCUGUUUUAAAUCCUUUUGAAAGUCCUAGUGAUUAUUCUAAUCUCCGUGAACAAACUCUCGCCAGUCCUUCUGUUUUUAAAUCAACAAAAUUACCAACUCCAGGGAAAUUUAGAUGGUCUAUUGGUCAACUAGCUGUAAUAAAUCCUGUAGAAAUAGACCCAGAAGAUAUUCAUCAUCAAGCUUUAUACUUAAGUCAUUCUCGAAUAGAUGAAGAUGUGGAAGACAAAAGACAAAAAGCCAUUGAAGAGUUUUACACUAAAGACGUCAUCAUACCCUCUCCUUGGACUGAUCAUGAAGGGAAACAGCUUUCACAAUAUCAUUCCAGUAAAUGCACUCAUGUAAAUAGUGACUUUCCAAUUGGAUAAAAGCUGACCAUUUAUUCUGAGAAAAGCAAUGCUGUUUGUCAGACAUUGCUGUCUCUUCCUGUGGAUUUUAAUUUAUAAAAUAUAUUAGGUGACUAUUUUAGAGCUGAUGAAUUUGCAGAUCAAUCUCCUGGAAACCUCAAUUCUUCAUCCCUCAGAAGAAAGCUGUUUUUAGAUGGGAACGGAAGCAUCUCUGACUCCUUACCUUCAGCUUCUCCCAGAAGUCCUCAUAGUGGUGUUCAAACAUCACUUGAGAUGUUUUAUUCAAUAGAUUUGUCACCUGUAAAGUGUAGGAGCCCCUUGCAGACAUUAAGUUCGGCGCAUUUCUUCUAGCCCUAUUCAGGCUAGUGCAAAAAAAUACAGCUUGGGACGCAUAACUAGUCCUUCACCUAUUUCUUCACCCACUUUCUCACCAAUUGAACUUCAGAUAGGAAAGACUCCACUCUCAGAACAAAGGAGGUUUACUCUUCAUUCUCCUGAUGCUUCAUCUGGAACAAAUUCUAAUGGGAUUACUAAUCCGUGUAUCAAAAGUCCUUAUAUAGAUGGCUGCUCGCCAAUUAAAAAUUGGUCUCCUAUGAGACUUGAGAUGUGUAAAGGUGGUACUCAGUAUCGGACCUCACUGAUUCAGAUACCUUUUACUCUUGAGACUCAAGUUGAAGAUGAGGAAGAUAAAGAGAAUAUUCUUUCCACGGAUGUCUCAUCGCCAGCCAUGGAUGCUGCGGGAAUACACCUGUGGCAGUUAUGGUACACAUUUGGUUGUGACUGCCUUGUCUGUUACACAAAAUCAGUCCAGUGCUUCUGAGAAAGACUUAGCACUGUUGCAGGAUGUUGAAAGGCAGAAAGACAAUAACACUGUGGAUAUGGUUGAUCCUAUAGAGAUAGCAGAUGAGAACACUUGGAUUAAGGAGCUGGUUGAUAAUGGCAGUUUACCCAUGACUGAUUUUGUGAGUGGCAUUGCCUUCAUUAUUGAAAUCUCUCAUAUGUGCAUGUCACCUCUUGCUGAAAGCAGUGUCAUUCCUUGCGAAAGCAGCAACAUUCAGAUGGAUAGUGGCUAUAAUACGCAGAAUUGUGGAAGUAAUAUUACGGAUACAGUUGGCGCAGAAAGUUACUGCAAACAAAGUGAUGCACAAACCUGUGGAGUUGAGAGUAUAUCUCAAGCAUUUAAUAUGAGACAAGACCACACAACACAGAGGUGUUGGAUGAAAACAGCAAGUCCUUUUCAAUGCAACAGUCCAUAGAAUACCUUUGUCAGAAUCAAAGACUAAGCUUAAGAGUUCCUCGCAUAUAUCGUUGUGCACAGGAUCAAUGUGAUGGUGAUUGGGAAAAAAUUACUUCAAGUAACAUGCUUUGCUUUCCCUCCUUAAUGUGAAAAAUCAAGGGCUUACUGACAUAGGAACAACAGAAAUGCUCCUGGAACUUCAAGUUGCUGAAUUAUAAAUUUAUUUUUUAUCAAUAAAUUUUUUUUUUUUUGUAUUUUUUUUUUUUUUAGUAGAGACAGGGUUUC
Molecule: RNA transcript, 2517 nt
Organism: Piliocolobus tephrosceles (Ugandan red Colobus)
Lineage: Eukaryota; Metazoa; Chordata; Mammalia; Primates; Cercopithecidae
Gene name: protein aurora borealis pseudogene
Exons: 1
Source: RefSeq, a predicted model, not a curated record